UCAUCUUAUUAUUUAGUACAGUUUGUGAAGUGGUAUGGAAACUUACAGAGUUUUUUUCACCUCUACUGUAAGGCUGAAAACCUUAAGCUUGUAAAACAUUUAUCCCAAAGAGAGAAAUGACCAACUAUAUCUAAGUUUGCCUCAGUCACAAAACUACCAUAUAAUUUGACAUGAACUUGACAUUCCCAGGGUCUAUUGUCCAUUGUGCAGUUCUUCACAAUAGGCAAUAGAUGUGUGAAGCUCCAUGCCAAAAGUCAUUAAAGCCACUACAAGUUUGCAUGGACUCAAGGAGAUGCUGGGCAAGUGCCAGAAAGUGAUAUAACCAAGAAUUCUCAAAUACAUAGAAACCACAUCCAGCUCAGGAUGUCCCUCAGCUCAAAAUAGAUUAAUACUGAGAGAAUAUUUUUAUUCCUUCCUAAGCAUUUGCUUAUGGCCAGUUCUUGAAUUGAUGCAGACACACUGCUCUUGCACUUUUAGUAUAAUGUCUGACUCAUUCAGAUGCUCUAACCUUGCAGCCACAGAACCAUAAUGAAGGAGAAGGGAUAUUGGAUGAGGUGGACCUUUGGUCUGACCCAGUGCAGUCAUUCAUCCAUUCUUCUGAGACCAUCUCUGACCAAAUUUGGGAAGAUAUUUAAAUUCUGAUUUUUACACAAUGUCAUCCGUCUUGAAUUAAAUGCUGUAGUCAAAUUAUUUCACAAAAGAAGUCUGAGAUAAAGAUAAUCUUAAAAACUUUGAAGAGGAGGAGAAGAGAGAGUUGCAUCAGAUAGAGUUCUGGACCUCCCAAAGAAAUGUAAUUUUUGUGCUAAUAGCACAGUCUGCUUCCAAGAAUAUGGCAGCUUUGAUAAAUGAAGCAACACUGAUAACCACUGAGGUCUUGAAACAGAAAAUCACCAGAUGCUUGAUGACCUGCUUAAAUGGUACAACCUCUACAAAAGCUGUUUAAGGUGCAGCCAGGAUUACUGAAAACAACUUUAUCUGUGGUACAGAGGAAUGUAGCACAGAAAAAUGGAUGACCUACCAGGUACGGGUUUCUGCUAGAUUGAGAUGCUGCAGAGAAGAAAAUCUAGUGUUGCAUUGUGACCUUGCAGUUGUGCUGAAGGUGCAGCAGUGAUGGGCUUCAAAGGGAGGAUUGAGAAAACAUACUUGAACUUUCAUUAUAGAAGGAAAGUUCAAAAUUAGAGAAUGGAAUUUAUAAACACAAUAAAAAAUGAAGGGUCGUUACAACUCUGCUGUAAUCAGGAAUACACUGGUUUUACACUCAGUAAUGGCUCCAAUUAAAAUAAAUGUCAGUGUUACCUUAUUCAGCAUUUCAUACUGAAUUAAUUUCAACUUUCAGCAUAACUGUUACUGAAACUACUGAAUGUAAAAGGGAUCUUUUGAACUUCUGUGGAGUAAAUCUAAUAUCCUGGACAGUUACCUUCUUGACAUCCACUUUAGAGGUAGUAAGACAUUAUCCCAUUGCAAAGAAAGUGUGUGUAUAAAUUAAUUUAAUGAAUUCUGGCUUCUGUUACUUUCUGCUGGUGUCCUUUACUUUGUCUCAUCUGUUUAGUUUUCUGUAUUUUUUUUUUCUGUUAGAGGCUGUCAGAAACUGAUCUUAGAAGUUAUAAUCUACACAGCGAUGUGCUGGAACUUUUAAGAUCAAUCUUGCCAAUAUUGCGAACUUAAAGUAUUACGGAAAUCUGAUUAAAUAAUGGUGCUUAGUUCAAAGCAAAUAUGUCAAUAUUUAAUAAUAAAUAUGGUUUUAAUAAUAAAUAUGUUCUAGGAAAAAAUGUUGAUUGCAAUGUUUAAUUAGUCAAUGGGAAUACCAGAAUUUAGAUUAAACUUUCAGUAUGAUUUAUGUUUUUCUGAACAAGUGGCACGGCAGAACUAACUCUCUCUUUAUCCAGUCUUUCCAUGUGUAAUCUUUGUGUCAAAUGAAAGUGCUUUAGAAGAAAAAUUCUGUGUAGGUAGAAAGUUUAAAAAAAUAAGCAAGUCUGAAAAAUAUGCCUGGUCAUUGGAAAAUAAAUAUAGUGUGUUUAGGACAUUCAGGUUUAAACACAUAACAUUGUCACAAGAUCAGUGACUCCUACAGAAAACAAAUCAUGUGUUUAGACAAAGUCAGCAGCUUUAUGGAGAAAUAAAUAUAAUUUUACAACUUAAUUACAGUAUAAACAUUUCUUGUGGUAGCAAAUACUUUGUUGUUAUUGUUGUAUUAAUCUUACAGGACAUAUGGAUGUUUGUUUCAGUAUCUCCUGGGACCUGCUAAAUCCUCUGAGCAUAACUCUGGCCGCUGUUGUAAAGAGCCAAACUUUUUAGCCAUUUUUCAUCUUUGUGGCUAAACCUUUAAUAAAUAAAU
This is a long non-coding RNA of Pezoporus occidentalis (night parrot), 2335 nucleotides long. RefSeq lists it as uncharacterized. The transcript is spliced from 2 exons. The record is from RefSeq and is a predicted model, not a curated record. NCBI's taxonomy places the organism in Eukaryota, Metazoa, Chordata, Aves, Psittaciformes, Psittacidae.